This 1585-nucleotide ribosomal RNA is filed under the name Thermoprotei archaeon. RNAcentral describes it as "bacterial LSU rRNA". It matches the Rfam family "Archaeal large subunit ribosomal RNA", at positions 1402 to 2987 of the family's 2987-position model. The record is from RNAcentral. Lineage: Archaea; Thermoproteati; Thermoproteota; Thermoprotei.
UAGUCGGGUGAGAAUCCCGACCGCCGGAGGGGCCAGGGUUCCUCGGCUCUAAUCUUUAGCCGAGGGUUAGCCGGGCCUAAGGCCACCCCCAACUGGAGGUGGCCGAAAGAGAAUCCGGUUAAUAUUCCGGAACCGCGGGGGUAGGAUUGCGGCAACGCAAGCCUCGCCCCGGACGGGUUGGGAUAGGCGGCCUGGGGCCGUCGCCCCAGCUAACUGGUGAAGCCCCCUGAGUUCCGUAAUGGAGGGAAGGGGGCGAAGCCAGGAAUGGCCGCCCGUUUGAGGGCGGUGCCGCCGAUUCCCAGCUCCCCUGAAAACGGGGCGAGGAAAUCCGAUCCUCCGCGCCCGUACCGAGAACCGAGACAGGUGCCCCUGGGUGAGAAGCCUAAGGCGGGGCGGGUGAUAGGGGGCUAGGGAACUCGGUGCCAUUAGCGCCGUACCUUCGGAAGAAGGCGUGCCUGCGGGUGAGUAGCCCGCAGGUCGCAGUGACAAGGGGGUCCCGACUGUUUAAUAAAAACAUAGCCGGCCGCUAGGCCGUAAGGCUUAGAUCGGCCGGUGAGUCCUGACCCAGUGGGGUCACCCGAAACCCGGGUACAACCGGGAUAAGGGGCCCCAAACGGCGGGAGUAACUAUGACUCUCUUAAGGUAGCCAAAUGCCUUGCCGGGUAAGUUCCGGCGUGCAUGAACGGAUUAACGAGGGCCCCGUUGUCCCAGCCCCCUGCCCGGCGAAUCCAUCGGCCAAGUGAACAGUCUUGGCCCCCCCGAUCGGGAGAGCAGACCCCGUGGAGCCUAACUGCAGCCUGCCGUUGCGGUUUUGCCCGUUGUGCAGAGCGUAGGCGGGAGCGAUGGGCCCGGGGCUCCGGCUCCGGGUGACGCGCCCAUGGAACACCGCCCACAACGGGCAAAACCGCUUACCCGAGGAGGGGACAGCGGCAGGUGGGCAGUCUGGCUGGGGCGGCACGCCCGUGAUAAGAAAUCACGGGCCCGCAAAGGUCGGCUCACCCGGGACAGAAACCCGGGGUAGAGUGCAAGGGCAAAAGCCGGCCUGACUGGGAGCCUCACAACGGGGCUCCCAGGGGCGAAAGCCGGCCCUAGCGAACCCCGGUGCCCUACUGGUGAGGGCCCGGGAUAUGGGAAAGGUUACCCCGGGGGUAACAGGACAGUGGGGAGCGAUCGCCCCUAGAGACCUCCCCGCUUGUCACUCCGCUGUCGGCUCUUCCCAUCCUGGCCGUGUAUAAGCGGCCAAGGGUGGGUCUGUUCGACCAUCAAAGGGGAUCGUGAGCUGGGUUUAGAGCGCCGCAAGGCAGCUCGGACUUCUCCUGUCGGGGGUGCUGCCGCCUGAGGGGAGGGGGCCCUUAGUACGAGAGGAACAGGGCCCCCGGGCCACUGGUCUACGGGCCGUCCGACAGGGCGUCGCCCGGCAGCUACGCCCGAGCGGGUAACCGCUGAAAGCAUCUAAGCGGGAACCCGUCCCCAAGACGAGGCGGCGAGGGCUCCCGUAGAACACGGGGUUGAUAGGGCGGGGCUGUAUGGCCCGAGACGAUGAGUCGAGGGCCGAGGCCGCCGCUACUAAUCGCCCGGGUUGCCC